Molecule: long non-coding RNA, 692 nt
Organism: Lotus japonicus
Lineage: Eukaryota; Viridiplantae; Streptophyta; Magnoliopsida; Fabales; Fabaceae
Exons: 4
Source: RefSeq, a predicted model, not a curated record
CACUUGGUUGAGCUAAGGGUAGAAAUAGGUGUUGGAGAUUGAGGUCCAGAUUUCGAACCCUUAGGAGGAGCAUAUGUAAUUUCUAACAACUAACCACUAACAUUUGCUUAUAAAAAAAAGGCUUAAAUGCAUUUGGUGCCCCUGAUGUUCCAGGUUCGUGCAAAUUGGUUGGAGAGGUUCGAGCCCGGACCUUAUAGUGACAAAACACACAUAUUACCAAUUGAGCUACAUGCACAAUUGUUAUAAUUGACAACAUAAUUUUAUUUAUUUCAUAUAUCUUCCCUAUAUAUCUUCCUCAUCAUUCAUCUUCUUCCCUAACCCCAACGACCCAACCCAGAUUGAACCUCCUUCCUCCGCAGCCUUACCAGCCACCGUCGCCGCACUGCAACCAUGUAGAAGAGAAAGGUUAGGGAGCCUAAGGAAGACAACGUGACUCUGGGUCCAGCUGUUAGGGAUGGUGAACAUGUCUUUGGCAUUGCUCGCAUCUUUGCUUCCUUCAAUGACACUUUCAUUCAUGUCACUGAUUUGUCUGGCAGGGAAACCCUUGUCCGCAUCACUGGUGGAAUGAAGGUGAAAGCUGACAGAGAUGAGUCAUCUCCUUAUGCAGCUAUGCUUGCAGCCUAGGAUGUUGCUACCCUGAUUAGAUUUCAUGAACAGAACCUUAAGAAUUUGAUUAUCUUCUGAUGGCCAUU